CUGAAUAGAUUUCUAACUCGUGUGCAAAGAAAGUAAACUGGUGUGUGGCAGCCAUUUUGAGGAUCAGGAAGAAACAGAAUGUCUGUGGCUGGUGAUAAGAAACCGCAAUGAGCACAGGAGGCAGAUUUGGCUUGAGAGGGAGCCCUGGGGAGGAACAGGUGAUAGGCCCAGGGGCUCCUGGUUAAUAAAAAUGACUCCUGCCAAGUCCACCUCCUAGGGUUCAAAGGAGAUGCACGAGUGGAAUCACUACCUGGGUCACAUGUGAGCUGUCUUCUGCAUCCUGCCCCCGUGGGAUAUGCUUUUUCCAGGUCCUGCAUUGGGUAACGUGGUCCAUUUCAGCCGUGGUGCCAAGUUCAACUGUCCAACUGCAGCUUUGCUGGCAAUAAAACUGGCUUCCUUAGAAUUAUU
Molecule: long non-coding RNA, 408 nt
Filed under: Homo sapiens (human)
Lineage: Eukaryota; Metazoa; Chordata; Mammalia; Primates; Hominidae
Description: HSALNT0069420
Source: RNAcentral